ACCAAAGAGACUAACUUUAUUGCGAAUCACAGGGAUAACAUCCCAAUGGUGCGCACCGAAAGCAAUGUGGUUUAAUCCUCUCGCGGGUGAGGGUUGGGCGGUGGACCGUCAGGAUAUCUGGCCCUCCCCUAGGCAGUUUCUGGCAAGAGUCCCGGUUUCCGUCCAAAUGUACUAGUGGGCCACUAUUAGUAAGCAGAACUGGCCCUGGAGGAUAAACCAAACGACGGGCUAAGGCGCCCGAUGCUCACUAGAACCCACAAAAGGCGUCCAUCGGUAAAGACAGCAGGACGGUGACCAUGAUCAGUAUCCGACAAUGAGUGUGUAACAACUCCUGAAAAUAGAUGGCGCUGUAGUAUGCAGUCUAAACCCGUCUCGGCAAUUUUCUCCGACCUGCCAGUAAAGACUGGCCGAAGCUGAGACGAGUAGGAGGGUAGCCGCGGUCAGCGCUGGGGCCUUAGACGCAAGUCUUGGUGUAGCGGCCGCGGGUGCCGAUCUUGGUGCUAGUAGCAAAUAGCCGAGCGAAAAAGUCGAAGCGGAGAAGGGUUUCGAGUUACUCCUUCGACCUGCCGCAGCUUUGUCGCUUUUAAGGCCUGAAAACAAUCUUACAGGAAGCGGGUCGUUUUUUAAUCAUACAAAAGUCAGUCUCACUAAAUGUUUGGGCAGAAAGGAAAACGGGUUAGGAUUCUCGCUCUCGUAAUGAGCCGUACCUCAAUCCGCUGCAGGUCUCGAAGAUACGCAGCCUCUAGAU
RNAcentral lists this non-coding RNA (748 nucleotides) under Lottia gigantea (owl limpet). RNAcentral describes it as "eukaryotic large subunit ribosomal RNA". It matches the Rfam family "Eukaryotic large subunit ribosomal RNA", at positions 665 to 1891 of the family's 3401-position model. The record is from Rfam by way of RNAcentral. Lineage: Eukaryota; Metazoa; Mollusca; Gastropoda; Lottiidae.